This 129-nucleotide ribosomal RNA is filed under the name Seriola lalandi dorsalis. Lineage: Eukaryota; Metazoa; Chordata; Actinopteri; Carangiformes; Carangidae. The record is from RNAcentral.
GCUUACGGCCAUACCACUCUGAACACGCCCGAACACGCCCGAUCUCGUCCGAUCUCGGAAGCUAAGCAGGGUCGGGCCUGGUUAGUACUUGGAUGGGAGACCGCCUGGGAAUACCAGGUGCUGUAAGCA